CCGGGGCGGGCUGCUCCUGCCUUACUUCGGCCUCUAGUCUCGGGUUGGACGCCCUGGAGGUCGGGCGGCCAGCCAAGGGGUAGGCGGCGGCCGGCGGGAGAAGGGGGCGUGUCGGCGCCGGAGAGCCCCGGGCUCGCCCGCAGCCAGGUCCGCCCGGCAGCCCGGCUCUGCUUGGUUCGCGACGAAAGUUACCUGGGAGUAUAUUUAGCUGGCGUUUUGCGUGGAAUCGCAGAGGGGAUAUUGGCGGAACCUUUAGAUACCAUCUAGUCCAGUCCCACUUUGCUAGAGAAGGGGGAACCUAGCGAAAGUAAAGGACUUGUCUCAAAUCCAGAGUCAGGGCCAUGGCUGUCUGCUCAUUCCUUUAUUUCCAGCACUAAGUGCAUUGCCUGACCCAGAGCAGGCGCUCAAACAUUUGUUAAGGGUCAUUUCAUUCUAGGGACAAACAACUCAAAUACUUUAGCAAAUAAAUUACAAUAUAAAAAUAUUUUUGAAAGAGGGAAAUGAGCCUGUAGAUGAAGAGACUUAGCCAAAUGUUCGGAUCAUGAUUCUAACAAACCAGUUGUAAAAAUUUUUUAAAACAGGAGAAUUUGAAAAUUGACUGUGUAUUUGACGUUAAGGAAUUGAUGUUUGAAGUUUUUAGUUGUGAUAAUGCUGUUAAGCUCAAGCUUUAAAAAGGAAAAGAAUUUUAGAGACACAUAGUGCAUAUUGUAUGAAUGAAAUUAUGUCUGAGAUUUGCUUCAGAGAUAUCCAGGGCGGAGGAUUUGUUUUGACCAUCCCCCACAAAUAUAAGAAAUACAGCCAGGAAACUGGUGCUGGACUUUGAAGGACUCUGAACCUAGGAGCCGAGGAACAUAGCAGGGAACAGCACACAGGCGAUAAUCUCCACCAUCCCUGCCCCUCCCGCAGCCACAGGGCCACUGGUUGCUGUGAACUGGGGAAGUGCCCCAGCAAAAGGGCCUGCUUCUCUAACCACCACAGACCAUGCCUAUACAAAGAGACAGGACCCCAAGCUUAUGCUCUAAACUCAAGGCAGACCUCCCCAGGGGGCCUUUUGAAGUGUGCCGGUACCUUACCCACUCAGACACUGUUGGGCUGCAAGCCUACUGUGAAUUGCUACAGAAGGCCCCUGAGGUGGAGUCAGCUCCCAUAGUCGGCACUCUACCUGCCUCCCUAUCCACCCCGUAGCUCAGGCCUCUGAAACCAACAGGACAGACCUCCCUGGGGAUAAAUUUGGGUUAGUCUGCCCCACUUCCAGUUGGUGCUGAGGACUGCUCACUGAGGCUGUUGUGUGCUAGGAAGAAGGCAUCUUGAGUGGAGGCGGCACUCAGAGCCAACAAUCUAUGGGGAGGGAUGAGGGGGGUUGGGGAGGGAGACUCUGAUAGCAACAAGGCAGACCUCCUUGGAGAUCCAACUGAAGCAUGGCACCCCCUCCCCCACCUGGUAAUUGUUGGGUUGCCAGGCUGUUGCAACUGCUGCAGAAGGCCCUGCAGUGAAGCCUGCUCCAUAGUCACCCCUCUACCUGCCUCCUUGUGUACCCCAUAGCUCAGGUGUCUGAAACCAAUAGGAAGACCUCCCUGGGGGCCAGUUUGAGUUUUUUUAUUCCCCCUUGCAGUCAAGUCAGCCCAGAGCCCUGAUGGCGCUAGGCUGCCAACCAAAGGGUCAGCAGUUCGAAUCUACCAGCCACUCCUUGAAAUCCCUAUGGAGCAGUUCUACCUGUCCUAUAGUUUUGCUAUGAGUCGGAAUCGACUCGAUGGCAAGGGGUUUGGUUUUUUUCUUUUUUUGAUACACCUAGAGUAAUCAAAACAGCCUGCUACUAGUAUAAGUAUAGACACAUAGACCAGUGGAAUUGAAUCGAGAGUCGGGAAAUAAACCCACACAUCUAGGAUCAACUGAUUUUGACAAGGACGCUCUAAGUCCAUUCAAUGGGGAAAAAAGAUUUUGUUUAAUAAAUGAUGCUAGGAAAAUUGAAUUUCCUCAUGCAGGAUAAUGAAACAGGAUCCAUGCCUCACACCAUACACAAAAACAAAUUAAAAAUGGAUUAAGGACCUAAAUAUGCAAACUAAAAUCAUAAAAUUUUCACAAAAUGCAGGGGCAAUGCUGUAAGGCCUAGCUUUUAACAAUGGAUUAUCUAGUAUAAUAUCAAAAGUACAAACUGCAAAAGACAAAUAAAUGGCACCUCACAAAAAUUAAAAACGUUUGUUCAUCAAAAGACUUUACAAAAAAAAAAGGGAAAAGACAACUGACUGGGAGAAUAUCUUUGAAAAACGAAUAUAAGAAUCUAAUAACUAAAAUAUAUAUAAAACUUUGACAACAACAAAAAGACAAGCCAAUCAUAAAAUGGGCAAAGAACUUAAAUACACAUUUCACCAAAGAGGACGUUCAAAUCAUGACCGAAGACACAAAAAGAUGUUUGACAUGAUUAGCCAUCACAGAGAUACAAAUCAAAACCACAAUGAGACACCAUUUCACUCCUACUUGAAUGGCUAAGAUAAAACGAACAGAAAAUACAAAUGUUGGUGAGGAUGUGGGGAACUUGGAACCCUUAUCUGUUGCUGGUGGGAAUGCACAAUGGUUGAGCUGCUGUGGGAAACAGUGUGGCAGUUCCUGAAAAAACUAAAAAUAGAACUACCAUAUGACCCAGCUAUAUACUCAAAAGGCUUGAAAGCAGAGACUCAAAAAGAGACUUGCACACUGGUGUUCAUUGCAGUGCUAUUCCUGAUAGCCCGAAGGUGGAAACAACCUAAAUGCCCAUCAGAUGAGUGGAUAAACAAAGUGUGGUACAUACAUACAAUGGAAUUCUACUCAGCCGGAAUGUUUCUUUAAAAAAAGAAGAAGCUUAUAAGGAGUUCUUUGAAGCUCAGCCCUCCCACAGCACAGCACCUUUGAGCACCAUGAGACUCGGGAGAAAUGUGCAGAGUGGCUGAUGGAGAUGUCUGGGAAUGCUGCAGUCUAAGCAGAUGGAUUUGUGGUUCCAGGCAGUCGUAGAUGACGACAUGCCUACCCUUGACUGAAGACAGGUCCUGCUUCUCGGUGAUGGUUGUUAGUCGUUCUCUUCAACCAAGGUCACACAGGGAGGAAGGUGAUCUUCUCCUUACCAACACCGCUUCUCCUGGCUGCCAGUCAGGCCAACCAGAUAAGCCCUGAUAAUCCAGAAGGUGACAGGUGCUUCAUCCCAUAGCCUCUGCUCUGUCUGAAAGGUGUAGAUGGUUGCCUUGCCUUGUGCUAGGUCCUGGGAGUCACCUUGGGUAGAGGGGAGGGAAGGAGCAGGAAACCAGCAUUGUUGCAGAGCUGUACAUUCAGCGUCUUGGUUAAGUAUGACCGGCUCAAAAAAAAAAAAAGACCACCCUUAAUAUAAACUUGGAGCUCUUUGAAGGCAAGUCCUCUGUCUUAAAAAACUGUCUUAGGCAUCGCUUUAUUCACAAUGCCUUGCUUAGCAUCUGGCACAUAGUAGGUAUUCACCCAGUAUCUACUGAAUAAGUGAUUACCCCUGUAGUUACCAGGUAACCAAGGAGUUCAUGGAGGUGAAGAGGAGAACGGAUGUGUCCCAUCUCCACUUCCCUAACCCCACAUGAGUACAUCAUCCCACUGGUAUAUGGAUAAGUUCUAGGUCCCAAGCACAACGUACAGAAAAGCUGCUUACCUCUUGUUAGUUGUGAAAUAGCUUUCCCCUGCAAAGAAAGGGGGCAAAUUUUAUGCAUGAAUGCAGGGUUUUAUAUAGCCUUGGAGUUCUUUUUUAACUUUCUUCAAAAGCUGAUAAGUUAAAAGCAUUCUUGGGGGAUAGAAAGAACUAGUUCUUGGUUUUGGUACUGCCCACAAAAACAGUAUUUCCCAGGAAGCCAGGUCUUCUAAACAGCUAACCCUUUAACUUGACGAUGAUAUCAUCCAGUCAUUGAGCAUUAACAAAAAAAAAAGGAAGGAAGGAAGGAAGGGAGGGAGGGAAGGAGAGGGGAAAGAAGGAGGAAAGAAAGAGCUCUUGCCAGCCACCUCUGUCUGCUUACCAGAGGCUUAUGUGCUCAUCCAGCUCUCCGUGGCCACAGGUUACUGGGUUUAGAUGUCCCAAUCUUGGAAUGUUACAGCUGGAACAUCAUGUAUAGGGAGUCUCCAGAAUACCAUCUCAAAUCACUACUCUAAUAAUAAUUCCAAGACCAAAUUGAAUAAGAAAUUACGGAAACAGCUAGAGGGGAUUGAAAAAGAUGAUCAAAUGAACGCUGUUGGAGAAAUAAAAGACUGGAGGGAUAGGUAACUCUAAGCUAGGCAUUCCUGGGGAGUUGAGGAUGGCCAUUCCAAAGCAUGUCACUCAUGACCUGAUAGCCCUACUAAAUUGCCCAAAAAAACAAGGUCUAAAAGGAAAGCUGUAAAGUGUUUUAUAAUAUGUAAAGAUUCCCAUCUGCCAAUCCAUUGCUCACUCCCCACCGUGGAGGAUACCAAGAGUUCUCCAUACAGAACAAAGCCAGCCUCUUUUGAUGGUCAUUAGCAAGCUGCUUCUUCCUCCUGGGCCUCACUCACCCAGUGUAUUAGAGACUCUGGCAAUACUGGUAACUAACAUGUACUGAGUGCUGACUGUGCUGAGUGCUCCACAUGGAAUAUCUCAUUUAGUCCUCCCAACAACUCUAUGACAUAGAUAGGUUUCUGUCAUGAUACAAAUGAAAAAAAUAAGACUUUGAGAGCUUAGAUAACUUGCCCAAGGCCAUGCAACUAAUAAGUAAGUAGAGGAGCAAGGAUUCAAAUCCAGGUCUGCCCAUUACCCAUGCUUUUAAAAAUUCUCAUUUUUACACUGCAGGAUUUCAAAUUUCAUUUGCUAAAAUAACUGGUCCACUUUUUCUCUGUGUUAUAUGGCUGUCUUGAAAUAGUCCUGCUUCAACAAUCCCUGCUUUGGCCUGUCAGAGCCCCAAAAUGGUUUCUAAGAGACCAAGUCUGGUAGGGAAUGAACACGUCGAAUCCCCGUUAAAGCCAUGUUCGUGAGGGAUGUCGUGCUUUCUAGUACCAGUCAUUGAAUUUCUACUGUGAAAGGUUGGAGAGAUUCUUGAGUCAUGGCCAACUCAAGAAUCUGUGAUUACGUGCUCAAUUCUGUAAAUCAGAUAUUCAGACAGAACAAAGCAGGGAUUAUUUCUGCUCCACAAUAUCUGGGGCCUCAACAGGAGUGGCUGGAGAUAUCUGGGAUGGUUCAACUGGGGCCAUAUAUCAGGAGCCUUGGUUCUGUCAGCUCCUUGACUCUUCUCUAUGUGGCAUCUGCUGGAACUGAAAUGUCCAAAAUGGCUUUUUCACUCAUGUGUCUGAUGGCUCCAUGUGGCCUCUGUCUCCAACACAGUAGCCUUAUCUUCUUAUAUUGUUGCUCAGGGCUCCAAGAGCCCAUUUAUUCAUGCCCUUCUCCACUUCACUUCACCUGUACUACCCAUAACCCUUCUGGGGGAACUGCCUGGUUCAGCCCCUGCUGCCCAAAUGGCUGUGUCAUACCACAUGACCCUGCCCUGUGCUGUCCCUCCUCCCCCACACCACACAUACAUCCAAUAUAGGCUGGCCAAUGACUUUUGAAGUCAUCUGGCUCAAAAAUAUAAGGAAAGCCAAUCAGAUUCCACUUUAUGAAAAUUUGAACAAAGAAAUCAGACAACAUAGGCAGUGUGCUACAAGAUGCCGUGAAGAUAAGUAGGACCUGGAUGGACCAAUUCGUAAGCCAAAAUGGCAUGAAGAGGACACUUGGAAAUUUUUUUUUAAAUAAAGAAAUCUGUGACAUGAAGAAAACCCACUCACAGUGGAGGGAAAAAUAAGCAUUUUUGGCAAGAGAAUAAAGGAAGGAAAGACCAGAGGAGAGCUGGAACCCCAUGAGAGGCAGAGAGAGGAAUGAGCCCUAGAGCUGCCUUAGUGCCCCAUGGCUCACCAGGCCCAGCCUUGCCCAUGUGUGUCAUUGCGGCAAGCUUGCUAAUUACUUCUUUUGCUGUCAGCUGGCUUCAAAGUGGGCGUAUGACUCAGUUCUGCCAACGAAACUUAAGGGGAAAUUGGCUGAAGGAACUCCUGGGAAGAAUUUUGUUUUUUAGUUAAAAUAGGGAUGGUAAAGAACCUGUCCCUUCUUCCUGCUUUGAACAGUAAUAUAUAAGAACAUGAUGCUUGGAGCUGAAGCAGAGAUCUUGAGAUAAUGAGGCAACAAGACCAAGGAAAAAACCCGACAUGCUGAAGAUGGCAGAGCAGACAGACAAAAAAUGCCUGAGUUCUUGAUGAUAUUGUUGAGCCACUGUGCCUAUCCUGGAACCAGGCUUAUUGAUAUAUAAGUUAAAUGUCUUCAUUUUGGAAGCAGAUUUCUGUUACUUGCAGCCUGAAGCAUUUCUAACCCAUAUAGCACUGCUCUGAACCUUUGUAUUAUUAAUUCCUUGGAGCCCCAUGCCUCUUGCUAUAACUCCAAAUGGAAAAUAAACCCAAGUUUAGACAACGGAAAUACUGCUUAUGUGGUAGGGAAUAAAAAGUCAGGACUUGUCACAGUCCACAGAGCAAUUCCAGCACUUAGUCCCAGCCUGGACCUAUAGAGGACACAGAGAGGAAAGAAAGAAAUAUUCAGGAACAUUGCAGAGGUAUGAGCAUGUGUCUUCUAAAAUGGGUCUUAAUGAUGAAUUUUAGGAAGAACAAGUUCAGUGAGGGCUUUACUACCGAACACAUGGAGCCUAAGUAAGGGCAAGAAAAGCAGGGAAGGCCAAGGAAGGAGCAGCAGGUUGGAAUGGGCAAAUGGGAAGUAGGCCGGAUGAAUUUCUAUGAGCUCUAUGUUUUUUUCUAUGUACUAGCUAGAAGUUUAUGGCAGCUGGAAGUAAACUGGUGAAAAACUAGGCCUUUUGGUUACUCUCCAGCCAACCUUACUGAUGUUUUAGGUUCUCUGAGGAAUAUGGUGCCCUGAGUUGUGGCCCGCUACUGCCAUUCUCUGUGUACAGGUGCUCCCCAUCCUCUUCAUUUUCUCUUCCCCACC
Molecule: long non-coding RNA, 6946 nt
Organism: Loxodonta africana (African savanna elephant)
Lineage: Eukaryota; Metazoa; Chordata; Mammalia; Proboscidea; Elephantidae
Exons: 3
Source: RefSeq, a predicted model, not a curated record